GUGAACGCUGGCGGUAGGCCUAACACAUGCAAGUCGAACGGCAGCACAGUAAGCGCUUGCUCUUACGGGUGGCGAGUGGCGGACGGGUGAGGAAUACAUCGGAAUCUACUUUUUCGUGGAGGAUAACGUAGGGAAACUUACGCUAAUACCGCAUACGACCUACGGGUGAAAGCAGGGGAUCUUCGGACCUUGCGCGAUUGAAUGAGCCGAUGUCGGAUUAGCUAGUUGGCGGGGUAAAGGCCCACCAAGGCGACGAUCCGUAGCUGGUCUGAGAGGAUGAUCAGCCACACUGGAACUGAGACACGGUCCAGACUCCUACGGGAGGCAGCAGUGGGGAAUAUUGGACAAUGGGCGCAAGCCUGAUCCAGCCAUACCGCGUGGGUGAAGAAGGCCUUCGGGUUGUAAAGCCCUUUUGUUGGAAAGAAAAGCAGCAGGUUAAUACCCCGCUGUUCUGACGGUACCCAAAGAAUAAGCACCGGCUAACUUCGUG
This 490-nucleotide ribosomal RNA is filed under the name uncultured bacterium. RNAcentral's name for it is "partial 16S ribosomal RNA". It matches the Rfam family "Bacterial small subunit ribosomal RNA", at positions 29 to 507 of the family's 1533-position model. The record is from RNAcentral.